CAGCAGCCGCGGUAACACCGAGGGUGCGAGCGUUAAUCGGAUUUACUGGGCGUAAAGCGUGCGUAGGCGGCUUCUUAAGUCGGAUGUGAAAUCCCUGAGCUUAACUUAGGAAUUGCAUUCGAUACUGGGAAGCUAGAGUAUGGGAGAGGAUGGUAGAAUUCCAGGUGUAGCGGUGAAAUGCGUAGAGAUCUGGAGGAAUACCGAUGGCGAAGGCAGCCAUCUGGCCUAAUACUGACGCUGAGGUACGAAAGCAUGGGGAGCAAACAGGAUUAGAGACCCCUGUAGUCCCUGUCUCUUAUAC
Molecule: ribosomal RNA, 301 nt
Filed under: uncultured bacterium
Lineage: Bacteria
Description: partial 16S ribosomal RNA
Rfam family: Bacterial small subunit ribosomal RNA
Source: RNAcentral